Oryza glaberrima (African rice) is the source of this 197-nucleotide non-coding RNA. The record is from Rfam. Lineage: Eukaryota; Viridiplantae; Streptophyta; Magnoliopsida; Poales; Poaceae.
GCUACCCGUCCUUAAAAAGAGUAUAUUUUACACUGUUCUUAUUUAAAAAUUUUUAUGAUUAGUAUUUUUAUUGUUGUUAGAUGAUAAAAUAUAAAUAGUAUUUUAUGUGUGACUAAUUAUUUUUAAUUUUUUUAUAAAAUUUUCAAAUAAGACAGACGAUCAAACAUUGGACGCGAAAACUUAGCAAUGCACUUAAA